This 440-nucleotide ribosomal RNA is filed under the name uncultured bacterium. RNAcentral's name for it is "partial 16S ribosomal RNA". It matches the Rfam family "Bacterial small subunit ribosomal RNA", at positions 338 to 795 of the family's 1533-position model. The record is from RNAcentral.
CCUACGGGGGGCAGCAGUAGGGAAUAUUGCUCAAUGGGGGAAACCCUGAAGCAGCAACGCCGCGUGGAGGAUGAAGGUUUUCGGAUUGUAAACUCCUUUUGUUAGAGAAGAUAAUGACGGUAUCUAACGAAUAAGCACCGGCUAACUCCGUGCCAGCAGCCGCGGGAAUACGGAGGGUGCAAGCGUUACUCGGAAUCACUGGGCGUAAAGAGCGCGUAGGCGGGUUAGCAAGUCAGAUGUGAAAUCCUAUGGCUUAACCAUAGAACUGCAUUUGAAACUGUUAUUCUAGAGUAUGGGAGAGGUAGGUGGAAUUCUUGGUGUAGGGGUAAAAUCCGUAGAGAUCAAGAGGAAUACUCAUUGCGAAGGCGACCUGCUAGAACAUAACUGACGCUGAUGCGCGAAAGCGUGGGGAGCAAACAGGAUUAGAUACCCGGGUAGUC